UGCAGGGGGCCGGCCGCACUCGCCGCUCCGGGGACCUUUUUGGGGAAGGACGCGUUGGCCGCGCGGAGGACCUGCCGGGGAACGGCAACUGAAAACAGGAGGGUUGCCCAUCACAAGUAGACCUUUCUGCAGCCCUUGGAAGACUGCUCGAAGUACAGAUGACUAUACUUCUCUUACCCUGCAGUGUCAACUAAACCCCAAAAUGCAGCUGGCUAACCAGGACCCUGUACCUCUCAGGUAACAUCUGAUGCCAUAUCAGGCAACAGGAGUGUCAUUCAGAGAGUGAUGUCCAUGAGGCGCUGCACAGACCCUGAGUCCCUUGCAGCUGACUGGAUGCUGCCUGUGCACAAAAUGAGCAGCUUGAAACUUUCAGUUGUUGAUGGCCAACUACUGCAAUGUAACAUGUCUAGCCACCCUCAAUAUAGAGAGGCAAAGACUCUCCAUCAUGGUUUGUGUUUAUUACCUUAGCUUCAGACACAGUGAAAAUUUGGUGGCUUCUGGGUUUCUCUCCUUUUGCUUACUUUAAUGGAUGAGAAAGGUAAGAAAAAGAAGGAUUUUUUUUCUCAAAUGUCUCCCCUUGGGGCUUGCUAUUCUGCUAUGUAGGUUUAACAUGCAGCUAAGCCAAUCUAAUGAUUUCUGGCCACUGAGAAGUGGCUUUAUUUUUUUGUGGCUCUGUGUUCUGUCCCUUUCUUUGUGCUGAUGCUGCUACUUACUGGGCCUGCUUGUCUGCCAUGUGUUUAUUUGGCUCAUGGGAAGUGUCCCAAUGACUGCCAAAAUCAGCACAAGCUAGUCUGGAGUACCCAGCUGGGAGAUGAGUUUUAGAGAUGGAGGAUGUCAUAUUCUUAGCAGCCAUAAAUGGCGAGGCUGACUCAGAGUGACUUCUGGACUGAACUGGGGUAAGCUAAGCAGCUCUUCAAGAAAUGGAAUUGUGAAAUUCAUAUCUCUAUGUAAGCAACAAAAAGAGUUGGCAAGUAAGGAAGAAAUACAUUGAUGAUGAUUGAUGUUAAUACAACUCAUCCUCAUGGGAUUAUCUUGCAUUUUACAACUCUUGAGUUUUUUUCACAUUCUUUGCAAAACGUGCAAACUCUGUCAGAUCCCUUCAGUGAGCUACCACUGACUCAUCUUUUGGCUUAAGAUAUAGUUUCAGUAAGAUCUGGCUGUAUGAUGAAUUAGCACAAGGAGUUAAACCAGAAGAAAACCCAGGUUUUUGCUGUGCUAGCUUUCUGCUCACUUAAUUCCUUGAACCAGGCAGACACCAGUAUUUGCAGAAUUGAGGGUGGAGAAGAAUACUGACAGGGAGAAGGGUGAAGCAGAAUUGCCUUUUCAACAGAAGCUAAACCUUCUAUCCACCUGGUUGCAGUGUGAGACUCCAUCUUUAGGAUGGGUCUUCACAGUUGAUUGAAACUGGUCUCAUUCUGACUUCUUGAGGAAAGAAACUCUACUGCUUUCCUGGUACCAACCCUGAUAAAACAAACCCUGCUCAAAGUGGCUUGUUUGCAAAUGUAGCCAGGGUGUUACUAGCAUCGACAGAAAGAAGAUAAAUUACAUUGAGUUGAAAUGUGAGUUUGGCUUUUUUCUGUAGCUUGGGAUGAGACUCCAAAGACAGUGUUAUUAAUGAGCUAGUAGGGACUACAUGCAGCUCUCUGCUCAUUGUCUGCUACCAGCAAUUUAAGUGUUCACUUGGGCUUCUCUCCUUUGAUAUUUCAUGAUCAUUGAUUUUCCUUUGAACACUGACUCAUUUACCCUAGUCUUCUCCCUCCUAAAGGAUGAGCUAAUGUCAUUAUAAAAAUAAUUCUUUUUUGUGAUCAGCAGGACAAGUGAAGCCUGGUUUCCUAUGGAUUUGGCCUGAUGUGGUACUGCUGUGUGGAUUUUCAUAUGUAUACUAAGCAGUGUCUGCACAUGCUUACCAUUUUAUCAGUGACAGUUCUAUUAGGACCUAUUUCAUCCAUUGGCUUGGCAUUUCACUUGUUACCUUUGUACAAAUUUAGAUGGAAUUUAGCAAUGGUUUAAACAUGCUUUUUUGGCAAGGAAAGUGGGGGAAGUAAUGGGACCCAGGGGCAGAAACACUAAUAUAGAGUCAUUUCAUAAGCCUUCUUUCCUUAGGAAAUCAGGCUAAAAAUUAGUCUUUUGACAGAGACCUCAUGUCAGGCUACAGACACAGAAAAGUAAAUGUUGCUGUUUACCAUGUAAAGCCUUCCAGUUACCUGCUAUAACAGAUUUCUUAUAAGUAAGGCUAAACCAGCAGUUGGUCUUUACUCACUUGGUUAUCUUCUCAUCUUCAGCAAUGUCCCUAUCAGGUUUUGGGAACCUGUGGUUUGUUUGGUUUUGGUUUUGUUUUUGUUUGUUUGUUUUGAUUGUGUUUUGGGGGUUUGUUUGUUUGUUUGUUUUUUUCCAGAAUGUAUUCAUGCAUCAGUUGCUUUCAAUUAUUUUUAAUGUAAUCUUUAUACUUGAAUAAAUGGCUAUGUAGGUAUAAGACA
This 2477-nucleotide long non-coding RNA is filed under the name Chloebia gouldiae (Gouldian finch). RNAcentral's name for it is "Erythrura gouldiae (Gouldian finch) lncRNA (ENSEGOG00005001043.1)". The record is from RNAcentral. Lineage: Eukaryota; Metazoa; Chordata; Aves; Passeriformes; Passeridae.